CAGUAGCCACGGUAAUACGGAGGGUGCAAGCGUUGUCCGGAUUUAUUGGGUUUAAAGGGUGCGCAGGCGGGGGGGUCAGUCCGCGGUGAAAGACGAUCGCUCAACGAUUGCAGUGCCGUGGAUACUGCCCUUCUUGAAUCUGGUUGAGGCCGGUGGAAUUGACCGUGUAGCGGUGAAAUGCAUAGAUAUGGUCAAGAACUCCAAUUGCGAAGGCAGCCGGCUGGGCCAGCAUUGACGCUCAGGCACGAGAGUGCGGGGAUCAAACAGGAUUAGAUACCCCAGUAGUCCCUGUCUCUUAUAA
Molecule: ribosomal RNA, 301 nt
Filed under: uncultured bacterium
Lineage: Bacteria
Description: partial 16S ribosomal RNA
Rfam family: Bacterial small subunit ribosomal RNA
Source: RNAcentral